RNAcentral lists this ribosomal RNA (489 nucleotides) under uncultured bacterium. RNAcentral describes it as "partial 16S ribosomal RNA". It matches the Rfam family "Bacterial small subunit ribosomal RNA", at positions 28 to 507 of the family's 1533-position model. The record is from RNAcentral.
GAUGAACGCUAGCUACAGGCUUAACACAUGCAAGUCGAGGGGCAGCAUGAACUUAGCUUGCUAAGUUUGAUGGCGACCGGCGCACGGGUGAGUAACACGUAUCCAACCUGCCGAUGACUCGGGGAUAGCCUUUCGAAAGAAAGAUUAAUACCCGAUGGCAUAGUUCUUCCGCAUGGUAGAACUAUUAAAGAAUUUCGGUCAUCGAUGGGGAUGCGUUCCAUUAGGUUGUUGGCGGGGUAACGGCCCACCAAGCCUUCGAUGGAUAGGGGUUCUGAGAGGAAGGUCCCCCACAUUGGAACUGAGACACGGUCCAAACGCCUACGGGAGGCAGCAGUGAGGAAUAUUGGUCAAUGGACGAGAGUCUGAACCAGCCAAGUAGCGUGAAGGAUGACUGCCCUAUGGGUUGUAAACUUCUUUUAUACGGGAAUAAAGUGAGGCACGUGUGCCUUUUUGUAUGUACCGUAUGAAUAAGGAUCGGCUAACUCCGUG